CAGACUUUUAUUAUAUAAUUAUAUAUGAUCAACAAGACUGACUGUAAAUAAAUGUCUGUAAUAAUAAAGUAUAAAUCAAUCACAGAUUGUGUAUAAAUAGACUCAGAUGUAAAAUUUAACUAUAAAAUAGAUAAUACAUUCAUGUGAUUGCUGAAGGCAAGGUUAAUGGUAGAGACUUGUGUGAAAUAAAAACUUAGUUUGUGUGCAGAAAUGAUGCGAAACGGUAACAUAUUGUACAUUAUUGUUGUAAUUAAAUUUUAUCUUAUACAUUUUGAGCCGCUAGCUAUCUUUACCAUAAUCUGCAACUUAUUUCUGUUAAAAUAGCCGUUUUAAUUAUACAAACCAUGUAAUUUCUAUCAAGUCUAAUAACAAUUAAUGUUUGUUAAUAUAAAAAAGAAGAUGUGGUAUGAUUUCCAAUGAGACAAAUAUCCACAAAAGACAAAAAUGACACAGACAUUAACAACUAUAGGUCACAGUACGGCCUUCAACAAUGAGCAAAGCCCAUACCGCAUAGUGAGCUAUAAAAGGCCCCGAUAAGACAAUGUAAACUGUUUAUAUAUAACUUGCUAGAUCUAAGUCUAACUAUUUAAUUUAUGAGGUAGAUUUACAUUCUCUAACAUAUUUAGAUCAAAAGUUGGGACGGAUUAUUUUUCCUUUUGCAGUUUAAAAAUACAACUCAUAUCAAUAAUUUCAAUGAUGGACGUAAAAUAUUUAGACAAAAAAUAUAAUUUUCUCAUAAUGACUAACAGAGAACAAAGAAUAUAUCUGUAUAAAAAUAGAAAGAAGCUAUAAUUUGGGAUACAUUGACCCUUAAAUCAAACAUCUUAUAAAAUUCCUCCGAUUUGCAGAAUAAUAUGUUGAAUCUAUGAACUUCAUUGCAGUUUUGCAAAAAAACUUUCUAUAUUAAGUUGGUAUAGAUAGCUCCUGGUUAUAGCCAUUAAGUAAAUUCAAUAAAACUUUGACAAAACAAAACAUAAUGACUGUUUCACUCAGAGAUGUUUAGAAAUAAUGAAGAGUACAUCCUUCCACAAAACUUUAUUAACACAGACAGUGUAGUUUAUUAUUAUUUGCUCCCUUUUGCGAAAUCUGUUUUGUUACAGUUGUGCAGCUUUUAAAAAAAGUUCCUAAUAAUUGCCUAUUUUAUGUCAAUAUUUUGUGAAUCUCCCAAAUAAGGUUACUCAAAUUAGAUCAGGAGUUUAAGUUAAUGCAUUUUAUUUUAUUCCUUAAGGCAUUAUUUAGGCAAAACGGAUAGUUCUCAAUCAAAAAUAAAAUACCACAAAACAUGUAUGACAAGAAUAUAUAACAUAUCCAGUUGUGCUAUAUAUUUUCAAAUACCCUAGAUCAGAAUAUGUUUUGGUGUAAGGAAAUUUGGGAACUCAAGUUUUUGAAAUUUGUAGUUAUAUAUAUGUAGUUGGUUUGUAAAUUAAAUUUUUACAUAUUUGUUUUGACAACAAAUAAAAUAAAAAAAAAAUGAGGAAAAGUCUAUAUUAACUAAACUUCACAUAUUAUAAUUUUGCAACAGAAAUUUCCUAACAAUUCACAAGGUAAUAAAUAAUAGUUAUGCUAUGUUAGUUCUUAUCAUACUUAAUGACAACCUUUUUUACCUCUAAUAUUCUGUAAUCAUUUCCUCAUCUACAUUAUCAUGAAAUUUUAAUUUAAAAAUACAAUAGUUAUUGGUAAAUAUCAAAAUAUAAUGCUUCAUUAGAAAUCUCUUUUUUCAGUUCAUAGCAAUGUAUAAUAAGGUAUUGACUACAUUAUAUGUUCAGAUUUGGUGAUUCAGACUGUUGCCUGUGUUUUUGAUCAAGCAAAGACCCCUCAAACUUUAAUUGAGGAAUAAAUUUUACUUAAAGACAUCACUGAGUUACUUCAAAAGUCAUAUUCUUUUGCAAUAUUGCUUUAAAAAUCAUGAUUUCUGCAGACUCUCACUAUAUUUGUUUGAGAUUUACACAUAUACAUUUUUUUCUUUCUGGAUAAUAACAAACAAAUCUUUUCCAAUUCUAGAUUCAUUUCCUCCCCCCAAAAAAACUUUUUCCUGAUACAGGAAAGUGGGUUUUUCCAUGACAAUACAACAAAUCAUCACAAAUUACUAGAAAUUACCAGACGUUCCUGUACAUUUUCUGUAAGUGACAAAAAAAUAUUUCCUGGCUACAAAUUUGCUAGUAACAGUAUUUACAAUAAUCAGACUAAACAGAAAAUUAACAAACAAAAAGUGUAUGAACAGUUCAACAUAAGUAAAAUAACAAUAGGUAUAUAAAUUCUGAAUACUUGUGCAUAUAGGAAAGCUAUAUACUUAUAGUACUAUACUAACUUAUAAAUGCAAUCAUCAAACACGAUUGCGUGUAUUAUAUAUAAUGAGUGUAUAAAAAUGUGAAGAUUGUCAUAAAUAACAGAUUGUAAAUAAUAUAUUUCUAUAGGACACAGUGCACUGCUCACACGUUCACAUUUUCAUGUUUAGAAAAUGAAAAUCUUGGUGAAAUCCUUAAUUUGGCUUAUACUCAAAAGUUUCAAUUCAUAAUGUACUAUUUUUCAAAUUGAUGUGCUUCAACUUCAUUGAAAUCUUCCUUAAAAAACCUUACUUGAUAAAGAAGGAGGAACAGACUGUCAGACUGGAAAACAGAAUUCCCACCUUCUGUAAACACCACAAACUGUUGGCCUAUUUACAGGACAUAUUAUGUCUAAAAUUUAAAACUCUUAAAUUUUGGAACCUUUCAUUUUUCAAAGGUUUAUUUUCUUGAACUAUCUUGAACACUUGUUCUUGACCUAAUCAAUAAGUAUAGCAUGUGGUAGUUUUAAAAUAGAAGAAUCAUUGAUUCAAAACAAACUGAUAAACAUAAACUUGAACCAUCAGAACAGAUGAUUUUUUCAAGGGAAUAAUUCAUGAAGAACAGUAAUUAUCAUUUAAAACCUGACAUGUAUUAUGAUUAAUAAGACUAAAAUCCAGCAUUGGUACUACAAAUCACGACAAACUAUUGAAAACAUUUGUUUCUCAAGCUACCAUAGCAACAAUUUCCUUUCCUAAAUUAGUAGCUGAGAAUAUGAAAAUACAAACUUUUGCCAAAAAAGUCAAUUAUAAAAAGAAUAUAAAAUUUGUAGACAAUAUUUUUGAUUGUAAUUUUCUAUCUUGCACCAUUAUAUUGCAUCCUUUAAUCUGUAAUACUGCUUACACAGUUAAAUAUAAACAUUGAAACUAUAUUUACACAUAUCAGCUAAAUAAAUAACAACACUGGAACUUCAUAUAUCUGGAAAUUUACAGAACAGGUAGUGUAAAAAGAAAUUCAUAGUGAGUUUUCUGGUCUUCAGAAGAACAAAAAUAAACUUUUGAUUUAUAGAUUCCACAGAACAUGAAGAAAUUUGGAGCUGAUAUGUGCAUACACAAUUUAUCUGUUAGGAGCUUACACACAUAUACUUAGACAAUAUACGUAUAGUGUCUUGAAAUAUGAAAUUUAUUUGUAUGAGGCUUAGAAACGGGUGAAAUGCGAGGUUCUACCGAGCAUUUCCCCUGUUUCGUGCCGAAUACAAAUA
Molecule: long non-coding RNA, 3522 nt
Filed under: Mytilus galloprovincialis (Mediterranean mussel)
Lineage: Eukaryota; Metazoa; Mollusca; Bivalvia; Mytilida; Mytilidae
Source: RNAcentral